AAUGAACGUUGGCGGCGUGGAUUAGGCAUGCGAGUCGUGCGAGAACCGUAGCAAUACGGGGACAGCGGCGAAAGGGAGAGGAACACGUGGAUACCUACCCUCAGGUUCAGGAUAGCUAUGGGAAACUAUAGGUAAUACUGAAUAAUAUCUCCGGAUCAAAGGUGUGAUUCCGCCGGAGGAGGGGUCCGCGUCCUAUUAGCUAGUUGGUGAGGUAAUGGCUCACCAAGGCGAAGAUGGGUACGGGAUGUGAGAACAUGAUCCCGCUCAUUGGGACUGAGACACUGCCCAGACACCUACGGGUGGCUGCAGUCGAGAAUC
This 318-nucleotide ribosomal RNA is filed under the name uncultured bacterium. Its description in RNAcentral is "bacterial SSU rRNA". It matches the Rfam family "Bacterial small subunit ribosomal RNA", at positions 29 to 363 of the family's 1533-position model. The record is from RNAcentral.